UUUAAGUUCAAAUACUUACCAUCAUUCUAUAAACAAAAAGAAUAUUAUGCUAUAAAAGAUUUAUGACUGCACAAUCAAAAACAGAGUAUGAAACGUAGGUAAUUUAAUCCGGCAAAGAAAUUUUAAGAAACGCAAGUUUUUAGCACAUAUUUUUCAAAGAUCACAGCAAGUAGAUUAUAAAGGUAUGAACCACCAAAUGGCUAUUUAAGGACCUACGCAGCAAAUGGCCAUUUCUCACCCUUUCCUAACCACUUAAGCAGCUAAGCCAUCCUUCAAUUCUCUCUUCUAGCUCCCCAACAGAACCAGCCUGCAUAUCUAUAGGAUUUAAUCUCUCCUAUUCCUUGGUGUGCAUAAGUGGGAGAUCUGAAACAUUAAUGGACACAAUCUCAAAUCCUGUUUCCAACCAAAACCAACAGAAUCCAGAGUCCCUCAACAUGUUGUCAUCUUCCCAGAGGCUGAACAACAAGAUUGGUUAAAAACAUCAAGACAACAUAUCAAGGUAGUCCCUAGAUUGCUGAACAACAUUUCUGGUAAGAGGACCUGUUCCAUUUUUCAAGCUCCUCAAACAGUUAAGAUAGGCAAAGAAAGAAAUCACUCCAGAUGAUCGAAGAAGAAAAAUGGCGAUUGCUUGGUGUAGUUAUCUUAUCACUUGUAUAUCAAUGAAAACAACCAGCUAUCCUUCACCUAAACCCAGUUUUGACACUAAUGUUUUAUAUGCAUAAAGCAACCAGCAGAUUAUGAAAUACUAAUCAUUUUCUUAUAAGCGCAUAGAGAUUCAAUAACUAACAUUCAGAACAAACAACAAUCCUCUUAAAAUAGGGUUUCCAAGAAUAAUCAUUUUCUUACAAGCGCAAAGAGAUUCAAUAACUAACAUUCCAAGAAAAAAACACAAUUACAAGUAACGAGAACACUGGAAUAUUGAAAAUUAUGACUUCAUACAAAACAGAGAAUAAAUAAACAACCAAGCUCUCUGAGAUCCUAAAUCAAGUGGAUGAAGGAAGAUAAUGGAAAAAGGGGAUAAUGCAAUUACUGGGUAACGGUAAUGGAAAGCAAAUUAAGAAAAAUAUACGUGACCCAGACUGAUCGAUGAUAAAGACAGAGAGAAGAAGAAAAGAAGAAAGCAACCAAGAAACUCACAGAUUGGAAUAGAUUACUAUUAACAGGAUUGAAAAACUGAAGGGUAUUUAAGUAAUUUCACAAGCGAAAUGCUUUUCCACUUUGCCACAACUUAUUUUCCUUUACUCCUACUUUCCCUGUAUCCAAACAAGCUGUAAGUUUGGGAAAGAGAGAGAACGCGCCAACGCGGGGGUAGGUGUGAGAUUGACCGAACCACCUCUCGAACACUUCACGUAUAAAGACCCCUUCACACACCUCCCUUUCUUCUCAGCUUGACGUUCCCUUCUGUAGAGAACACCAAGCU
RNAcentral lists this unclassified non-coding RNA (1420 nucleotides) under Hevea brasiliensis (rubber tree). Lineage: Eukaryota; Viridiplantae; Streptophyta; Magnoliopsida; Malpighiales; Euphorbiaceae. The record is from RNAcentral.